Molecule: transfer RNA, 72 nt
Filed under: Mus musculus (house mouse)
Lineage: Eukaryota; Metazoa; Chordata; Mammalia; Rodentia; Muridae
Also listed under: 1 other name
Rfam family: tRNA
About the family: Transfer RNA (tRNA) molecules are approximately 80 nucleotides in length. Their secondary structure includes four short double-helical elements and three loops (D, anti-codon, and T loops).
Source: Rfam by way of RNAcentral
GGAUAUAUAGUUUAGUGGCAGAGCACUUGCCUGGCAUGCACAAGGCCCUAGGUUCGAUCCCUGGUACUACCA